GACAGAGGGUGCAAGCGUUAAUCGGAAUUACUGGGCGUAAAGCGCUCGUAGGUGGUUAUUUAAGUCAGAUGUGAAAGCCCCGGGCUCAACCUGGGAACGGCAUUUGAGACUGAGUAACUAGAGGUAGGUAGAGGAAAGUAGAAUUUCAGGUGUAGCGGUGAAAUGCGUAGAUAUCUGAAGGAAUACCAGUGGCGAAGGCGGCUUUCUGGACCUUACCUGACACUGAGGAGCGAAAGCGUGGGUAGCAAACAGG
This 253-nucleotide ribosomal RNA is filed under the name uncultured bacterium. Its description in RNAcentral is "partial 16S ribosomal RNA". It matches the Rfam family "Bacterial small subunit ribosomal RNA", at positions 524 to 776 of the family's 1533-position model. The record is from RNAcentral.